RNAcentral lists this ribosomal RNA (254 nucleotides) under uncultured bacterium. RNAcentral's name for it is "partial 16S ribosomal RNA". It matches the Rfam family "Bacterial small subunit ribosomal RNA", at positions 524 to 776 of the family's 1533-position model. The record is from RNAcentral.
CACGUAGGGUGCGAGCGUUGUCCGGAAUUAUUGGGCGUAAAGAGCUCGUAGGCGGUGUGUCGCGUCGGCCGUGAAAACCUGCAGCUUAACUGUGGGCUUGCGGUCGAUACGGGCAUCACUGGAGUUCGGCAGGGGAGACUGGAAUUCCUGGUGUAGCGGUGAAAUGCGCAGAUAUCAGGAGGAACACCGGUGGCGAAGGCGGGUCGCUGGGACGGUACUGACGCUGAGACGCGAAAGCGUGGGGAGCAAACAGG